AUAAUUCCGUAACUCCUCGUGCCUCUGCUCUCACUUUUUCCCUUUCCCUUUCCCUUUCCCUUUCCCUUUCUUUCUUCCCGUCUUCCUCACGGCAUCCCCUCUCCUUCGCACUCCUUCCCAUCUUCCCUCAAGCCAUCACAACCACAGGACGUAACUAGCAUCACACGCCAGACAUCCCAGGGCCACGCGUGACCAGCCUGUCCCUGACCUCGACGCACAGCAGCCACGCGAAGAAGGAUCCGUACAAUCGGUUCUUCCUCUUCUUUUUCCCCUCAAAUAAUUAAUUUUUCAAGGCUUGAAGUUUUUGAAGGGUUGAAGGAAAAUGACAAGACGCAUUUAUCGUACAAUUUAUGUUGGUAACCUUCCUGGUGAUAUUCGCGAGAGAGAAGUGGAGGAUAUCUUUUACAAGUAUGGCCCAAUUGUUGAAAUCGAUUUGAAGAUUCCCCCAAGGCCUCCAGGUUAUGCAUUUGUUGAGUUUGAAGAUGAACGAGAUGCUGAAGAUGCUGUGUAUGGUCGCAAUGGGUAUGACUUUGAUGGGCAUCGUUUGCGGGUGGAAUUUGCUCAUGGUGGCCGAGGACAUCCAUCAUCAGACCGCCAUAGCAGUUACAGUAGCAGUAGUCGAGGUGGUGCACCCAAGCAUACUGAUUAUAGAGUUAUGGUCACUGGACUUCCCUCAUCUGCUUCUUGGCAAGACCUGAAGGAUCACAUGCGAAGAGCUGGUGAGGUUUGUUUCUCAGAUGUGUACAAGGAUCGACGAUAUGGUGGUAUGGUUGGAGUUGUUGAUUAUGCAAAUUAUGAUGACAUGAAACGUGCUGUCAGGAAGUUGGAUGAUUCUGAAUUCCGUAAUGCAUUUUCUCGUGCUUAUAUUCGUGUGAAGGAAUACUCAAGGAGUCUAAGCCCAGACGAUAGGUCCAGACGCAGAAGCUAUAGUCGUGGUCGUAGUUAUAGUCGAAGUCGCAGUUACAGCAUAUCUCCCAGAAGAAAUUCACGCCGUUCUUAUUCUAGAUCUCCUUCGAGAUCCCGAUCUCGAUCUCUCUCUAGAUCCAGCUCUUUGCGGCAGUCUGGGGAUUGGACGUAGGGGCUUGGAUCUCUUGGCACGUUGGACUAUAUGCUCAUUUCCGGCCAAGGUGGACCAAUUUAAGUACAAAUGAAAUGACUUGAGUAAAUUAUUUGGAUAUUUGGGGCGUAUGCCUGGUUAGAUCUUAAAGGUAUAAUGUUUGGUGGAGGUUCAUGGGUUUGAGCUGGCAGAAUCGGUGAUUCAAUAAGAAGGAUAUGGAUUUUCAGUUAUUAAGUGAUAUAGUGUUAUGGAACACUCACUUGGUAGGACUUACGGUAAAGGAUGUUGGUAGAUACAAUGUUCUAUGCAUUUUGAGUGCGAACCUUAGCUAUGGGCCUCGUUGGUACUCAUUGGUGAAACGUGCAAUUCCACACCAAGCUGACUUGAUGAUCUCCAGCUCGUCGCAGCUUGAGCAGGAGCGCCAGUCAAUCUCGUUCACCAGCUGCAAGAUCUGACAGGAGCCUUUCUGUUUACUCUGAUGAGCGUAGUUGAAUAUUUGAGAUUGGUGUUUGGUUUGUUUCAUGAGUCCUCUGUUUCUUCGAGAUUGCUACUCAGAGCGACAUUUGAACUUAAAGGGACAUAGUAUAUGAUAGAUUGGUCAGACUAAUAUGAUAAUAAUAACGUGCACUCUUGAUUUUAGUAUUACUGUGACUCUGUAAGGUUAGAUUAGGCAUUUCCCCUUUAGUGUUUGUUCAAGAUAAAUUUCCUGUUUUGGUCAUGCUGAAGGCUGUGUGUUUUCAAUAAGGGUUGAUAAUACAUGUUACUUUUAUUACUUUUUUUGAUUUUAUAAAUUUGACACUUUAUUUUGGGUUGUUUCUUAAACUCUACAACUAAUUCUUUUUUGGUUGUGGUAUUUCUCUCUUUUGAUUUAAUUUUCACGAAUCGCGUAUAUUUUUUCUGUUUGAAAUUAGUUUUCAUAUCUUUUGCUUUCUUGGUAUCUAGUGAAUUAUGGAUUUUAAUAUCUUUAUAUACAUAUAAAUUAAAAUAGUUGAUGUCUGACAUCAUGAAAUCCAUAAUUAAGUAUGUUUGGCUAAAGUGCGUGUAAGUGAGACCAAAGUGCACUGGAUAGUCACCAUUGAUUUGAUGGCGAUGAGGUGUAACAAUCGUUAUCAGAGACAUCCUGUAGUUGUGGCUGAAACUAAGGUGCAACGUCUAGUUGCAUUUUUAAGUGGGUGAGUGAUAUCUGGAAUUGAAAUUAAAAAAGAAUUGAUAGACUAUCCAUCUCAAUAAGAUGCAUUGUAACAACUCCAUAGUUAAACGUGCUUGUGGGGAGCGAUCUUAAGAUGAGUUACCUUUUGAAAAGUUUUUUCGGUUGUGCACGAUUGGGGUCAGUGCUGGAGCUAGUCUAUAGCUUCCAUUGAUAGUCACCAUUGAUUACAUGUGUGUGUGGUGUGAGUGUGUGCGUGAGAGGGUGCACGUGUGUGCGUGCGCAUGUGCAUUUGAAGAGGAUCACGAAAAAUCACUUAAAAUGGUGAAAAUUGAA
Molecule: RNA transcript, 2540 nt
Organism: Amaranthus tricolor (Joseph's coat)
Lineage: Eukaryota; Viridiplantae; Streptophyta; Magnoliopsida; Caryophyllales; Amaranthaceae
Gene name: serine/arginine-rich splicing factor SR30-like
Exons: 14
Source: RefSeq, a predicted model, not a curated record